GAUGAACGCUGGCGGCGUGCCUAAUACAUGCAAGUCGAGCGAACGGACGAGAAGCUUGCUUCUCUGAUGUUAGCGGCGGACGGGUGAGUCACACGUGGAUCCCCUACCUAUAAGACUGGGAUAACUUCGGGAAACCGGAGCUAAUACCGGAUAAUAUUUUGAACCGCAUGGUUCAAAAGUAAAAGACGGUCUUGCUGUCACUUCUAGAUGGAUCCGCGCUGCAUUAGCUAGUUGGUAAGGUAACGGCUUACCAAGGCAACGAUGCCUAGCCGACCUGAGAGGGUGAUCGGCCACACUGGAACUGGGACACGGUCCAGACUCCUAAGGGAGGCAGCAGUAGGGAAUCUUCCGCAAUGGGCGAAAGCCUGACGGAGCAACGCCGCGUGAGUGAUGAAGGUCUUCGGAUCGUAAAACUCUGUUAUUAGGGAAGAACAUAUGUGUAAGUAACUGUGCACAUCUUGACGGUACCUAAUCAGAAAGCCACGGCUAACUACGUG
RNAcentral lists this ribosomal RNA (497 nucleotides) under uncultured bacterium. RNAcentral describes it as "partial 16S ribosomal RNA". It matches the Rfam family "Bacterial small subunit ribosomal RNA", at positions 28 to 507 of the family's 1533-position model. The record is from RNAcentral.